GAGCGAGCCGCGAACCGGGCGGGCGGCGGGCGCGCGCACCAUGGGGGAGAAACCGGGGACCAGGUAAGAGAGGUGGGGCUACGCGGCGGGACUUACAGAGGGAGGACAGGAUAAUGGUUUAGUGAUGGGAGCAUCGACUGGGAGCCAGCCUGCCUCUGCUCGUACCUGAAUUCCACCGUUUAUAUUCUCUGUGACCUUAGGCAAAAUACUCGACCUCUCCUACGCCUCAGUUUCCUCACCUGUGAAACAGGAACAUUAGGACCGCCGUCAUGGGGUUGCUAAGAGUACUGAAUGAGAUAACACAACACGAGACACUUUGCCACAGUGCUGGGCGUGGACCAUCCCUCCAAUAAGUGUUAGCCAGCAUCGUCAUCUUUGUCUUAUGGCUGCCAUUGUGCUGGGUUUGCCGAAACCAGUAAGGCCUCAGCUGCUCACAGUCUGUCUAGGGAGACAUGAUACACAGCUCACUGCCCUCACACGCUAUCCCACCACGGGUGAAGCCUCAACAAGGUGUGACAGCAAUCCCCCCAGAAUCUGGGGGGACUGACUGGAAUCUAGGCUAGAUCUGCUUUUUGGUUGGUUGGUUUGUUUGCCAUUUCUUGGGCUGCUCCUGUAGCACAUGGAGGUUCCCAGGCUAGGGGUCGAAUCGGAGCUGUAGUCACCGGCCUACGCCAGAGCCACAGCAACGCAGGAUCCGAGCCACAUCGGCGACCUACACCACAGCUCGUGGCAACGCCGGAUCCUUAACCCACUGAGCAAGGCCAGGGAUCAAACCCACAACCUCAUGGUUCCUAGUCGGAUUCAUUAACCACUGAGCCACGAUGGGAGCUCCAAGGCUAGAUCUGCUUUCUAAAGGAGAUGAUAGCUCAGAGGGGCCCUCAAAAACAUAAGCUCUUUAAGCUGCUGAAAUGGGGUCGCACUUAGGUACUGCCCAUCAGAGGAACCUUUUCGGAGGCAAAGGCCAGAGCCAUUGCUCUUGCAAGGACUCCAGCUCCUGUUAGAGGUGGAGACCAGGGAUGGAAGGAGGGUUCGCUCUCCCACAGACACUCCUGCAACCUGCCCAUUCAGGUCCCCUGCGGGGAGGUCCUCUGGGAAGAGCCUAAGUGGUUCCUGUGGCAACCCAGCGGCCAAGGCCACGGGAGGAGGGGAAGGAGUGAGGGUGGAGCUAGGGGGGUUGCCAUGGGAACCCGCUUUGAGGGGCUGCCGCCGUGCUGGGACUAUGAAGGACCUGUGGUUGGCUACCUUUCCUUCUGGGAAGAAGUGGGAGGGGGUAGGGCUGGGUAAAGCCCAGAGGCCUCCAGGCAAGAAGCUCGGGGGAGCUUUGCUUCUCAGGCUGGGGAGGGACAAG
RNAcentral lists this long non-coding RNA (1348 nucleotides) under Sus scrofa (pig). RNAcentral describes it as "lncRNA (ENSSSCG00015031083.1)". Lineage: Eukaryota; Metazoa; Chordata; Mammalia; Artiodactyla; Suidae. The record is from RNAcentral.